Molecule: ribosomal RNA, 435 nt
Filed under: uncultured bacterium
Lineage: Bacteria
Description: partial 16S ribosomal RNA
Rfam family: Bacterial small subunit ribosomal RNA
Source: RNAcentral
GAUGAGCGCUGGCGGUAUGCUUAACACAUGCAAGUCGAACGGACUCUUCGGAGUUAGUGGCGGACGGGUGAGUAACGCGUGAGAAUCUGGCUUUGGGUUCGGGGCAACCACUGGAAACGGUGGCUAAUACCGGAUGUGCCGAGAGGUAAAAGAGAAAUUGCCUGAAGAUGAGCUCGCGUCUGAUUAGCUAGUUGGUGAGGUAAAGGCUCACCAAGGCAGCGAUCAGUAGCUGGUCUGAGAGGAUGACCAGCCACACUGGGACUGAGACACGGCCCAGACUCCUACGGGAGGCAGCAGUGGGGAAUUUUCCGCAAUGGGCGAAAGCCUGACGGAGCAAUACCGCGUGAGGGAAGAAGGCUCUUGGGUUGUAAACCUCUUUUCUUAGGGAAGAACAAAAUGACGGUACCUAAGGAAUCAGCAUCGGCUAACUCCGUG